RNAcentral lists this ribosomal RNA (425 nucleotides) under uncultured bacterium. Its description in RNAcentral is "bacterial SSU rRNA". It matches the Rfam family "Bacterial small subunit ribosomal RNA", at positions 917 to 1345 of the family's 1533-position model. The record is from RNAcentral.
GGGCCCGCACAAGCGGUGGAGCAUGUGGUUUAAUUCGAUGAUACGCGAGGAACCUUACCAGGGCUUAAAUGUAACGGGACAGAUCUAGAGAUAGAUCCUUCUUCGGACUCAUUACAAGGUGCUGCAUGGUUGUCGUCAGCUCGUGCCGUGAGGUGUCAGGUUAAGUCCUAUAACGAGCGCAACCCCCAUCGUUAGUUGCCAACGAGUAAUGUCGGGAACUCUAACGAAACUGCCGGUGCAAACCGUGAGGAAGGUGGGGAUGACGUCAAAUCAUCACGGCCCUUACGUCCUGGGCUACACACGUGCUACAAUGGUCGGUACAGAGAGCAGCCACUACGCGAGUAGGAGCGAAUCUAUAAAGCCGGUCUCAGUUCGGAUCGCAGUCUGCAACUCGACUGCGUGAAGCUGGAAUCGCUAGUAAUCGG